UCUGAUCGGUUUGUUCUUUUU
This 21-nucleotide non-coding RNA is filed under the name Caenorhabditis elegans. The record is from RNAcentral. Lineage: Eukaryota; Metazoa; Nematoda; Chromadorea; Rhabditida; Rhabditidae.